Long non-coding RNA from Melanotaenia boesemani (Boeseman's rainbowfish), 1247 nucleotides. RefSeq lists it as uncharacterized. The record is from RefSeq and is a predicted model, not a curated record. The transcript has 2 exons. NCBI's taxonomy places the organism in Eukaryota, Metazoa, Chordata, Actinopteri, Atheriniformes, Melanotaeniidae.
UUUUGACGAGAGCUGCUAGUCAAACAUGUCUUGUGUCUUCUUCGCUCCAAUAACAGCUCCGCAGGGAGAUGUCCUUCCCCAAGCCCCGCCCUCCAAUCACAGCAGACUCUUACAGAAGCCCCGCCCACCCCUCCAGUUCUGGUUUCCCUCUUGUCAUCGUUAAUUUCUGGAGCCACCUGAUGUCUCCGCCUGCCCCCUCCUCCCUGUGUGUGGGCGUUUUCAAGAACGAUUAAUAUUUAAUAGUUAUUUGCUAGAAAUUCAUUAAAAUUAGUUAAAAUACACAAUUAAUGCAUUAAAACAUUUUAAAAAUAAAGUUGUAAUAUUUCAGGUUCAUUGUUAUUAGAGCAAAAUUAAACUAUUAAAAUUUUCAACUGUUCUGUAAUCAUUGUUAUAACCUCAUCAUUGUAAUGUGAUAUAUUUCUAAUCAAAAACUGCAGAAAAUUUAUUUUAUCAGUUUAUCAGUUAGUUUAUAAAAAAAAAAAAAAAAAAGUUCAAAUUUAGUUUAUUUACGAGAUUUCUGACUUUUCUCAGUGGUGCAGACCCUGGUGAAACUUGAGCAGAGCUAUUGAAGCACUACAUUUUUGUUCUGAAGACAGAACUCUGACAUGUUUUUAAUCAGGAAUGGUGUAGAUACUGAGCUGUGUGUGACAGCUGAGCGUUUGAACACCAAACGAAGAUCAAACCACCUCCAUUCUCCAUUUGGGUUUUCUUGUAUCUGUUUUAUUUGGGAUCCUUUUGGCGUCUUAUAUUAGAUUGUGUAGAAGAGUUUUGGUAGUAGUUCAGUGUCUCAUUUUGUUGCAUCAGAUAUCUUUAUCCUCAAGUAUCUCAUAGUUGCUGUGUCUGUACAUUUAGUUUGUACAGUUACCAUCUGGUUUGCACUAGUGUUGUCUCAUUGACGUUGUCUUUUUUGUAUUUUUGUGUUGAUUUCAUCUUAAUGCCACUUUUUCCUUGUUUCUUUCUAUUUUUUGCUGGUUUUCUAGGAUCUAUUUUUAUGGGGUAAACCUCCUUAUGUGUGACAUUCAGACCUUCAGAAGGUGACAUAUGUCUGUAAUCCAUCCCUACCUGUGAGGGUGGUGACUCAUUUUCCUAAAAGACCAAUUCUGAUUACACUUUGUUUACAAGUUAAUAAAAAAAAAAGUAAGCAAUAUACCAAGUGUUGCCGCUGGUGCAAAGACUCCUCACCAGACACAGUUAAUGUUUUCAUGGGAUCUUUAUUUACCGAGUACCCAACAGAAAUGCAGGAAAAA